AAAGGGGGCAGGGAUGGGUCGGACUCAGAGAGCAAGAAAGCAGGUUUGAAUGAGCCUGGUGGAGAGUGGGGGGAAAUAAAGUUUUUGCAGAGCAGGCAGAAGCAGGUGACAACCCUAUCACAGGCCUACUUCCAUCUUCUUGGCAUUUUCAGUGAAGCAACACAGAAAUGAGGCCUUAUUCGAAAAAAAGACGAGGAAUCAGAGAAAGAGAGAGGAAAAUGGAAUCCCUCAAACAGAUGCCAGAUUCCUAGGUGGUGAGAGAAAGGAAACCAAUGUGCAGCUUGCGAGAAGGAAGAUUUCACGGGGGGGAAUAAAUACUGAUCUCUUUAAUCAUAUUUCAUGUAUAGGGCUGCACUGCCUUGUCCCAUAA
This is a non-coding RNA of Podarcis muralis (Common wall lizard), 370 nucleotides long. NCBI's taxonomy places the organism in Eukaryota, Metazoa, Chordata, Lepidosauria, Squamata, Lacertidae. The record is from RefSeq and is a predicted model, not a curated record.